Molecule: long non-coding RNA, 1514 nt
Organism: Mauremys mutica (yellowpond turtle)
Lineage: Eukaryota; Metazoa; Chordata; Testudines; Geoemydidae
Exons: 3
Source: RefSeq, a predicted model, not a curated record
CUGCUAAUAAAGCAUUUACCUAGCGCUGCUACCACCUGGGCCUGUCUGUGCUCAUUAUCCUUGCCUGCAUCCUUACACUAGUCUCUCUAAACUUUCCGUGCUUCAUUGUGAAGCUAUGGAUAAUACCUACCUUUGUAAGGAAGUUUGAAGUCCUGACAUGAAAGGGACCAGGAGUAGAUCAUUCAUAUUUUCCAUCAUAUGGCAGGGCAGGGGCCUGCUUAUUCGCUUUGCUUCUCUCCCUGAGAAGCAUCAUUAUCACCCCGAGAGAGAUGUGCACUCAGCCAUGGCCACAAGCAAGGCAAUAGGUUAUGUUCAUCUCAACUUCUGGGUUCAGAGUGGAAACCAUCAGAAUUCCUGGGAAAACCUGUCCUGGUGAGAUUCCCAGCCCUGCUGAGCAGCUCUGAGAGGUUCCCAAUCCAGAGAGGAUGAGAGAGCCUUACCCAGCACAAGGAAUGAGAGUUCCUUAAGAUUGUUGCUUGAAAUCUCUAUUGUCCCUCUCCCCCUUCCCAUCCCCCAGAGGUGCUUUGUGUUUCUGACAGCUCAGGACCCCUCUGCCAGCUUAGCUUACUAUAGCUUUUACCACAGGCUGGCCCUGCAGAGGAUCAGCUGAAGAGACAGACAGUUAGUAACCGCAUGGUAACCAAACACUGUUGAAUUUACUUGGGGGAGAGAGUAAUAAUAGUAGUUAGCAUAUUAUGGGUUCAGAGCAUGGUACACACACCAGCUAAGUGAUCCACACGACAUCUCCAGAAAGUAAGUUAGUAUUAUCCCUGUUUUAUGGAUGGAAAAACAGACACAAAGAGGCUGUGUGACUUGCCAGAGGCCACGUGCUGCUUCAGUGGCAGAUCCAAGAUGAGAACAGAGUUGUUUCUGGCCUAGUUCAGGCAGUUUGAGCCACCAAGGACUGUGGGUGCAAGAAGGGGAACAGCAUAGGAGUCACUAGGGACUGGUGUCCUGGUGGGGAAGGAGAAGAGGGCUUGAGUGGAUGACAAAAGGGUGGGGUGGGAGAUGGGAUUGUGUGUACUUUAAACCUAGGCAGAGGGAAACCUCAUUUUGAAACAGUGCUUGAGGGUUCAUCUGCUUCAGCCGUGCCAGUUCCACGCCCUACAACAAAGGGCUUGUUGAAAAGAGGUGGAAGGAAAAAGGAAUUAAAAGAACUGGGAAAUUCUUAAGAUUCUUUCCACUGGAAAAUAUGUCUCCACUUAUCAGUCAGUGUCAACAACAACAACAGACACCUGCCUCUUUAAACUCUGAACAGCGAGAAUCAGGACAAAGGUAAUUUAAGGCCUCAGCUAGUUUAUAAUCGGCCAGGUUUCAGUUCUGGCUCAGAGCUAGGAGCAGGAAAGCUGCCUGUAAUUUGUGCAUGUAUAUGCAUAAGAGGUGGCCCUGAGCUGGAAGAUUAGAUCAAGACACCUCUGAACCGAUGUGUGGUCUGAAUUUCGUGACUUGGGUACGCUGGCCCAUUUCUUACAGCUGUCUCUCUGCAUAUAUAGAGUGUGCAGAUACACAUAUGA